AAGGGUAAAUAAAAACGGACACCAAGGCAGACAGCAAGCAGCCGAUCCUUAUAGUGCACAUCAACGUCUUGAUUGAAACCAUAGUGGUCGCUGGUAAAAAAAAGGGAGAAGAAGAUGUCAAUCCAGUUACACAAUUACUUGAAAAUCUGAUGAACAAAUGUACAAAUUAUAAAUAUCACAUUCAGUGCAUGGCGGAGGACGGAAUAGAUUUGAGGUUUGGCAAUAAAAGCAUGGACACAACAAAAGUAAGGUGCAAAGUAACACCAUCACCAUGCAAAUUUGUAAUACACAUAUCACCAC
This 300-nucleotide long non-coding RNA is filed under the name Sorghum bicolor (sorghum). Its description in RNAcentral is "long non-coding RNA (SBIC_LNC006068)". Lineage: Eukaryota; Viridiplantae; Streptophyta; Magnoliopsida; Poales; Poaceae. The record is from RNAcentral.